This 495-nucleotide ribosomal RNA is filed under the name uncultured bacterium. RNAcentral describes it as "partial 16S ribosomal RNA". It matches the Rfam family "Bacterial small subunit ribosomal RNA", at positions 28 to 523 of the family's 1533-position model. The record is from RNAcentral.
GAUGAACGCUAGCGGGAGGCCUAACACAUGCAAGCCGAGCGGUAUUGUUUCUUCGGAAAUGAGAGAGCGGCGUACGGGCGCGGAACACGUGUGCAACCUGCCUUUAUCUGGGGGAUAGCCUUUCGAAAGGAAGAUUAGUACUCCAUAAUAUAUUGAACGGCAUCGUUUAAUAUUGAAAGCUCCGGCGGAUAGAGAUGGGCACGCGCAAGAUUGGCUAGUUGGUGAGGUAACGGCUCACCAAGGCAAUGAUCUUUAGGGGGCCUGAGAGGGUGGUCCCCCACACUGGUACUGAGACACGGACCAGACUCCUACGGGAGGCAGCAGUGAGGAAUAUUGGUCAAUGGGUGCAAGCCUGAACCAGCCAUCCCGCGUGAAGGACGACUGCCCUAUGGGUUGUAAACUUCUUUUGUAUAGGGAUAAACCUUUCCACGUGUGGAAAGCUGAAGGUACUAUACGAAUAAGCACCGGCUAACUCCGUGCCAGCCGCCGCCGUAA